RNAcentral lists this small RNA (474 nucleotides) under Histoplasma capsulatum. Its description in RNAcentral is "hypothetical RNA". Lineage: Eukaryota; Fungi; Ascomycota; Eurotiomycetes; Onygenales; Ajellomycetaceae. The record is from RNAcentral. RNAcentral also lists the same sequence under 1 other name.
GCCCACACCCUUGAGCCAUUGCCGAAAAAAGGCAGGGUCCUGGAAUCCAACAAUCAUAUAUUCACCAGUGCCUCCCACGUGCCACUUACUAGUAAUUUGGACCUGACAUAUCCACUCGAUUUUCAUUGAGCUCCGCUAUCUGAGUACACACACAACGGGCGGUACAGCAUUCUAAUUCGGUCCUGGGCCUGGCUCUAUCCUCCCUUCCCUUGGUACCACAUGAAUAUCUAGAAACAUGCUUCCACCGAGGGGCACGGCGAUGAGGUGGGCAGUCGGACACUUUUGCUGUGGACAUGGACGUGGACGCCACGCAUAGGAAACAAUCAGAUAAAAAUGCAAGACGGGCCAUUCCCUAUCUUCCAAAUAUUAUCCCUGGCUAUUCUCACUCAGUACAGGCCCCACCGUUUAUAUUAUCAAGGGAGAUGGCAUGUACCAUGUAUCCUUGGCCUAGGCAGAACUUAUUGGCUCGUGGGG